Molecule: ribosomal RNA, 230 nt
Filed under: uncultured Diversispora
Lineage: Eukaryota; Fungi; Glomeromycota; Glomeromycetes; Diversisporales; Diversisporaceae
Description: partial 18S ribosomal RNA
Rfam family: Eukaryotic small subunit ribosomal RNA
Source: RNAcentral
AGCAGCCGCGGUAAUUCCAGCUCCAAUAGCGUAUAUUAAAGUUGUUAGCAGUUAAAAAGCUCGUAGUUGAACUUCGGGGUCUACCCAUUGGUCAGGCUUAAUUGUCUGUACUGGUGAGAUGGAUUCUCUACCUUCUGAGGAACUUUCAUGCCAUUUAUUUGGUGUGGUUGGAAAUCAGGACUGUUACUUUGAAAAAUUAGAGUGUUUAAAGCAGACUAUCGUCUGAAUAC